RNAcentral lists this ribosomal RNA (253 nucleotides) under uncultured bacterium. RNAcentral's name for it is "partial 16S ribosomal RNA". It matches the Rfam family "Bacterial small subunit ribosomal RNA", at positions 524 to 776 of the family's 1533-position model. The record is from RNAcentral.
UACGUAGGGUGCGAGCGUUAAUCGGAAUUACUGGGCGUAAAGCGUGCGCAGGCGGUUCUCCAAGUCCGUUGUGAAAGCCCCGGGCUCAACCUGGGAAUGGCAGUGGAAACUAGGGGACUGGAAUCUGGCAGAGGGGGGUGGAAUGCCGCGUGUAGCAGUGAAAUGCGUAGAGAUGCGGCGGAACACCGAUGGCGAAGGCAGCCCCCUGGGCUGAGAUUGACGCUCAGGCACGGAAGCGUGGGGAGCAAACAGG